CUCGUAGGCGGUCCAUCACGUCGGGAGUGAAAAGCUGGGGCUUAACCCCAGUCCUGCUUCCGAUACGGGUGGACUAGAGGUAUGCAGGGGAGAACGGAAUUCCUGGUGUAGCGGUGAAAUGCGCAGAUAUCAGGAGGAACACCGGUGGCGAAGGCGGUUCUCUGGGCAUUACCUGACGCUGAGGAGCGAAAGCAUGGGGAGGCAAACA
Molecule: ribosomal RNA, 208 nt
Filed under: uncultured bacterium
Lineage: Bacteria
Description: partial 16S ribosomal RNA
Rfam family: Bacterial small subunit ribosomal RNA
Source: RNAcentral